RNAcentral lists this ribosomal RNA (253 nucleotides) under uncultured bacterium. Its description in RNAcentral is "partial 16S ribosomal RNA". It matches the Rfam family "Bacterial small subunit ribosomal RNA", at positions 524 to 776 of the family's 1533-position model. The record is from RNAcentral.
UACGUAGGGGGCAAGCGUUGUCCGGAUUUAUUGGGCGUAAAGAGCGUGUAGGCGGCCAGGUAGGUCUGCUGUGAAAACUCGAGGCUUAACCUCGAGCUGUCGGCGGAAACCAUCUGGCUAGAGUCCGGAAGAGGAGAAUGGAAUUCCCGGUGUAGCGGUGAAAUGCGCAGAUAUCUGGAGGAACACCGGUGGCGAAGGCGGCAUCCUGGACCGGCAUUGACGCUGAGGCGCGAAAGCUAGGGGAGCAAACGGG